GUCAGUGACAAAUGCUGGCUGCAAUCCAGCCAGCCCUCUGCCCUUUCUGAGCCCGAGGGACUGCCACCUCCACUGUGUGCACGCUCAGCUACGGGACACAAACAAAGAACAGCCACCAUGCAGCUCUUCCUCCUCUUGUGCCUGGUGCUUCUCAGCCCUCAGGGGGCCUCCCUUCACCGCCACCACCCCCGGGAGAUGAAGAAGAGAGUCGAGGACCUCCAUGUAGGUGCCACGGUGGCCCCCAGCAGCAGAAGGGACUUUACCUUCGACCUCUACAGGGCCUUGGCUUCCGCUGCCCCCAGCCAGAACAUCUUCUUCUCCCCUGUGAGCAUCUCCAUGAGCCUGGCCAUGCUCUCCCUGGGGGCUGGGUCCAGCACAAAGAUGCAGAUCCUGGAGGGUCUGGGCCUCAACCUCCAGAAAAGCUCAGAGGAGGAGCUGCACAGAGGCUUUCAGCAGCUCCUUCAGGAACUCAACCAGCCCAGAGAUGGCUUCCAGCUGAGCCUCGGCAACGCCCUUUUCACCGACCUGGUGGUGGACCUGCAGGACACCUUCGUAAGUGCCAUGAAGACGCUGUACCUGGCAGACACUUUCCCCACCAACUUUAGGGACUCUGCAGGGGCCAUGAAGCAGAUCAAUGAUUAUGUGGCAAAGCAAACGAAGGGCAAGAUUGUGGACUUGCUUAAGAACCUCGAUAGCAAUGCGGUCGUGAUCAUGGUGAAUUACAUCUUCUUUAAAGCUAAGUGGGAGACAAGCUUCAACCACAAAGGCACCCAAGAGCAAGACUUCUACGUGACCUCGGAGACUGUGGUGCGGGUACCCAUGAUGAGCCGCGAGGAUCAGUAUCACUACCUCCUGGACCGGAACCUCUCUUGCAGGGUGGUGGGGGUCCCCUACCAAGGCAAUGCCACGGCUUUGUUCAUUCUCCCCAGUGAGGGAAAGAUGCAGCAGGUGGAGAAUGGACUGAGUGAGAAAACGCUGAGGAAGUGGCUUAAGAUGUUCAAAAAGAGGUACUUUCAGACUACCCCAGGGCCAGCCUAACCCCACACAGCCCCAGGGAGACACACACGCCCUACCAGGGCCACACAGCACUGGUGGGAAGGACUCACCCAGCCAAGGAGCUGCCUCCAGGCCCAGAGGCAUCCUUUGACAUCCAGGUCCUGGGGGCCUAGCCCAGUUGGAGGGACAAGAGCUGGAAACUGGGUUCCUUAGGGUGGUGCCAGAGUGGGCAGAGACCUCUGGGCAGCCCACGUCCAAGUCCAGAGCAAGGGGAGGCUCAUCCUAGAAAAGAGACCAGAGGAGCCAUAACCACCAUUGUUCCUUGGGUUAAGGAGUCCUUUUUUAAAACCAUCAAAACUAAGAAUCCAGUGCAUUAUGAAGCCAAGGGGUGAGGCUCAGUGUGCCAAUGCCCCAGAACAGUCUAAGAAAGCUCCUUUUCCCUUUCCAGGCAGCUCGAGCUUUACCUU
RNAcentral lists this small RNA (1463 nucleotides) under Pan troglodytes (chimpanzee). RNAcentral's name for it is "retained intron". Lineage: Eukaryota; Metazoa; Chordata; Mammalia; Primates; Hominidae. The record is from RNAcentral.